This 301-nucleotide ribosomal RNA is filed under the name uncultured bacterium. RNAcentral describes it as "partial 16S ribosomal RNA". It matches the Rfam family "Bacterial small subunit ribosomal RNA", at positions 509 to 807 of the family's 1533-position model. The record is from RNAcentral.
CAGCCGCCACGGUAAUACGUAGGGUGCGAGCGUUAAUCGGAAUUACUGGGCGUAAAGCGUGCGCAGGCGGUUCGUUAAGACAGAUGUGAAAUCCCCGGGCUUAACCUGGGAACUGCAUUUGUGACUGGCGAGCUAGAGUAUGGCAGAGGGGGGUAGAAUUCCGCGUGUAGCAGUGAAAUGCGUAGAGAUGUGGAGGAAUACCGAUGGCGAAGGCAGCCCCCUGGGCCAAUACUGACGCUGAGGCACGAAAGCUAGGGGAGCAAACAGGAUUAGAUACCCGCGUAGUCCCUGUCUCUUAUAC